This is a long non-coding RNA of Lycium barbarum (goji berry), 1664 nucleotides long. RefSeq lists it as uncharacterized. The record is from RefSeq and is a predicted model, not a curated record. The transcript is spliced from 2 exons. Lineage: Eukaryota; Viridiplantae; Streptophyta; Magnoliopsida; Solanales; Solanaceae.
GUAACACAAUAAAAGUUACAAAUAUUUAUAUUAAACAUGAUUUGAUAAAUUGGAAAAAUGUGUAAGUAAUCCGUCAAGCGGCCAAAUUAUAUUGACCAUAUACUGGACAAAAGUUAAAUUCUAUUAAGAAUCCUAUGAAAAAAAAAACAUGAAUAUUGAGAUUAGAGUUGCAGUUUAGUGAUCGCAGCUUCACCCUGCAUUACUUACUACUUAGGUAUAGUGUUCUAAUCCCACCAAAUGCUUUGUUUUCUUCUAUCUAGAAAAAAUUGAAAAAUAAGGGGAAAAGAAAAAAAAAUUAGAACAAGAAGAAGAUUAUAAGAAUGAAACAAAUCUACCCCAGAUAAGCUCUGCCCCCAAUUAAUUCAUCCAUUAAGAUUUAAGACAAUUACAAUCCCAACCGGUGUAUACUGUAUACUAAAAAAAAAAAACUCAACUAGGAAACGCAACCUUCUUCCUUCCUUCUUAUGUCAUAAUCUUCUGAUUUUAGCUAACAACUUUGAUGAAGAGGCACGUUUCAUGAAGCUCUUAAUCAGACUUUAUUUUCAACCCGUAGCCAUCAACACGGCCAAAAAAAUACAAACCAUUUGUAUAUUCAAAUUCAAUCCUCACCUAUUAAUUUCUUUACUUUAUUUUCUUUCCUCUGCGUAGGCGGAUUCAGAAUUUAAAUUUAAUGAGUUUAGCCUUCAAAGUUCUUCUUAUUAAACACAUAUUUAAAACUUUAAAUGGAUUCAUACCUAUUGUUUAUUGCAGUCGUAGUUAUUCAUAUAUACUGAUACUCUGCAUCGGAAGUAUUGGAUUCAGAUAAAUCCCGUGCUGUCAGGCUACAACCGCGCGCCCUGGUUCUUCUAAACCUUGAUCUUUACUUGAACACUCUCACUACUCUUUAAUUAGCAGGCACCUAAGUAUACCUACCCCAGAAAUUAAUUCUCUAGUACAUCCCCUAGCUAGUUCUUUUUUCUUCAAUACCACCUUUGACAACGGUUUGCUUAUAUACAUCUUGAUUUCUCUUUGUUUAUCUACAUCUUGAUUUCUCUUUCUUACUAAAUUCCCUCUUGUACCCUUUUGUUAUUGGCUAGUAUAAAGCAUUUAUUCAUUGAAAUCUUGAGAAGAACAAAAGGUAAGAGAGAUUUUCGAGACCACAAACAGGAAGAAGGAAGAAGCUAAUCAAUCAAUUGAGAUAGGUAAAAGAGAUUUUCGAGACUGCAAGCAACAAGGAACACGGCGGCUUUGUAUUUUGGAGAUCGAGUUAGGAUGGAGUACACUUGUACAGAAGAGAAAUCUGAGGUAAGGGAUACAAGUGACAAUUAUUAUCUUGGGAAGUUAAAGAAGACAUGGAUUAUUUGCUUGGGAUUAUUUUGCAUAAGUAUUGGAGGUGGAGUGAUAUUAGGAUGGUGGAGUUUAAAAUUUCAUCCUUCAAACAGACAACUAUGGAUGGUUCCUUUAGGUCUCGUUUUGCUGGUUACACCAAUUUUAAUUUUUCUUGCCAUCCUCUUGGAAUCUUGUAACUACAGGGAAACUGGUGAUCACCACCAUCUUGAAUCUGUUUCCCAAGAUUUUCCUCAGGAUUUGGAGAGAUCAUUCUAAGUUUCUAACAAUACUUACUAUGUCAAGGUGUAUAAUCGUUGAAAUAUCAGAAAAGUUGGUUACUCUACAUUUCUUCACUG